Molecule: ribosomal RNA, 341 nt
Filed under: Austromegabalanus nigrescens
Lineage: Eukaryota; Metazoa; Arthropoda; Thecostraca; Balanomorpha; Balanidae
Description: partial 12S ribosomal RNA
Source: RNAcentral
UGUUACUUAUAAGUAAAAAAUUUUGGAAUAGUAGUAAUAAAUGAAAUUUAACGGAUUUGGCGGCAAGAUAGCCAUUUAGAGGAACCUGCCCUAUAAACGAUGAGCCACGAAAAACUCUACUUUUAUUAGUAAUUCAGUUUGUAUACCGCUGUUGUCAGUUAGUUUCAUUAGAAAACUUUCGUGCAUGAAAAAGUCACAGACUUCAAGUAAAGGUGCAGCUUAUAUAAGAGAUAGAGGUGGGUUACAUUUAUAAGAAUAAGACGGAUAAAGUUUUUGAAAAAUCUUUUGAAGGUGGAUUUAAUUGUAAAGUUCAAUAAAACUUGAUGGGAGCUCUGUCUUGU